AAAAAAAAGUUUUGCAUAUCAAUAAGCGGAGGAAAAGAAACCAACAGGGAUUGCCUCAGUAACGGCGAGUGAAGCGGCAAAAGCUCAAAUUUGAAAUCCCCCCGGGGAGUUGUAAUUUGAAGAUUGCGUCUUGGAGGCGACCGUGUCUAUGUUCCUUGGAACAGGACGUCACAGAGGGUGAGAAUCCCGUGCGGCACGGCCCCCGGCUCCUUAUAAGGCGCUCUCGACGAGUCGAGUUGUUUGGGAAUGCAGCUCAAAGUGGGUGGUAAAUUCCAUCUAAAGCUAAAUACAGGCGAGAGACCGAUAGCGAACAAGUACAGUGAUGGAAAGAUGAAAAGCACUUUGAAAAGAGAGUGAAACAGCACGUGAAAUUGUUGAAAGGGAAGGGCAUGCCGUCAGAUUGUCAGUGUGGGUAAGAAGCGGGGUACAAAGACUGUGGAACGUGGCCCUCGGGUGUUAUAGCCGCAGUUCAUGCCCCGUCUCUUUCCGAGGCCUGCUUUGAGGACACCGACGUAAUGACGGUACGCCGCCCGUCUUGAAACACGGACCAAAA
Molecule: ribosomal RNA, 553 nt
Filed under: Kodamaea ohmeri
Lineage: Eukaryota; Fungi; Ascomycota; Pichiomycetes; Serinales; Debaryomycetaceae
Description: partial large subunit ribosomal RNA
Rfam family: Eukaryotic large subunit ribosomal RNA
Source: RNAcentral